Molecule: microRNA, 21 nt
Filed under: Schistosoma mansoni
Lineage: Eukaryota; Metazoa; Platyhelminthes; Trematoda; Strigeidida; Schistosomatidae
Description: sma-miR-8413-5p
Source: miRBase by way of RNAcentral
UGGAAUAUCUCUCUACCUGUU